UCACAGCACCGCAUAUGGACGCUGUGAGAGCCUCAGCGUGAGUCCUCAGACCCCCCCCCCUUUGUCCUCAUGGCCUGGGUCUUCGCACUGGGCUGCAUAUUCCAAGUUCGUGCUCUGAACUUGGAGCUUGAGUAAGCGUGGGGGCACUAGGCCAGCUGGAAGUGCAGAGCUGAGAUUGCUGCUCCGGCAAAGGCCUCCUAUUUCUCACCUGUUACUUGAGAUUAAACACCUCGGGAAAUCCAGGCAACCUGAUGUUCAGCUGCUUAGUACAACCAGAUUCUAAAUUCAACUUCCAAUCCUUUAUGGACAAAAGCAGAUUCCAUUGCGGGUGACCUGGAAAGUCUCCAAAGCAGAAGGGCAGAAGGGGAUAUGAUCUAUCUUGGUGAAAUUCCAUGAGACCUGAAAAGAAUAUUUAUUCUACAAUUGUUGGGAAAAUACCAUUUCAGUCAUGUCAGUUGAUAGUCUUGUUCAGAUCAUCUAUCAAUUAAUGCUCUCAUUAAGGAAGGGCAAGAUGAAGGCCCGCACAGCUGGGCCAUUGCUGAGAAGCACCAUGCGGAGGUGCUGCUACCCCUGGGGCUUCACCUCUCUGGACGACCUUGGAGGGUGAUGGUGGUUCCGAGGCUGUGACGGAAGUUGCGC
This is a non-coding RNA of Microcebus murinus (gray mouse lemur), 639 nucleotides long. NCBI's taxonomy places the organism in Eukaryota, Metazoa, Chordata, Mammalia, Primates, Cheirogaleidae. The record is from RefSeq and is a predicted model, not a curated record.